Molecule: ribosomal RNA, 253 nt
Filed under: uncultured bacterium
Lineage: Bacteria
Description: partial 16S ribosomal RNA
Rfam family: Bacterial small subunit ribosomal RNA
Source: RNAcentral
UACGUAGGGUCCGAGCGUUGUCCGGAAUUAUUGGGCGUAAAGAGCUCGUAGGCGGUCUGUUGCGUCGGUUGUGAAAACCUGGGGCUCAACUCCAGGCCUGCAAUCGAUACGGGCAGACUAGAGUUCGGUAGGGGAGACUGGAAUUCCUGGUGUAGCGGUGAAAUGCGCAGAUAUCAGGAGGAACACCAAUGGCGAAGGCAGCACUCUGGGACGUGACUGACGCUGAGACGCGAAAGCGUGGGGAGCAAACAGG